RNAcentral lists this ribosomal RNA (492 nucleotides) under uncultured bacterium. RNAcentral's name for it is "partial 16S ribosomal RNA". It matches the Rfam family "Bacterial small subunit ribosomal RNA", at positions 29 to 507 of the family's 1533-position model. The record is from RNAcentral.
AGUGAACGCUGGCGGUAGGCCUAACACAUGCAAGUCGAACGGCAGCACAGUAAGAGCUUGCUCUUACGGGUGGCGAGUGGCGGACGGGUGAGGAAUACAUCGGAAUCUACUUUUUCGUGGGGGAUGACGUAGGGAAACUUACGCUAAUACCGCAUACGACCUACGGGUGAAAGCAGGGGAUCUUCGGACCUUGCUCGAUUGAAUGAGCCGAUGUCGGAUUAGCUAGUUGGCGGGGUAAAGGCCCACCAAGGCGACGAUCCGUAGCUGGUCUGAGAGGAUGAUCAGCCACACUGGAACUGAGACACGGUCCAGACUCCUACGGGAGGCAGCAGUGGGGAAUAUUGGACAAUGGGCGCAAGCCUGAUCCAGCCAUACCGCGUGGGUGAAGAAGGCCUUCGGGUUGUAAAGCCCUUUUGUUGGGAAAGAAAAGCAGCAGGUUAAUACCCCGCUGUUCUGACGGUACCCAAAGAAUAAGCACCGGCUAACUUCGUG